Long non-coding RNA from Ictalurus punctatus (channel catfish), 1285 nucleotides. NCBI's taxonomy places the organism in Eukaryota, Metazoa, Chordata, Actinopteri, Siluriformes, Ictaluridae. The record is from Ensembl.
CUCGGGUAACCGCCAUAAGGAACAAAGAGAAGAAGAGUCGCUGCUCACACUCCAGUCCAGUAGGUGGUGGUAAUGCACCUUACGUUGGUUUGCCAACCGCCAUUAAAACCAAAAGAAGAAGAAGCAGAGGAGUUUCGCGAGUGACGUCAGACCAACAUGGCUGAGCACUCUGUGAACAUCGACGCAGACAGCGAGGUGACUCUGAUCCUGGACCCAGAGAAGAGCACAUUUCUGGGUAAUGCUCCUCUGUACCAGUCAGCCGAUGACCCUACUACAUUCUACCUUGAUGAAGCCUUGACGGUCAGAGUGAACUUGUAUACUACUGUAACCAAGCAAGAGGAUAACGUGUACAUCGUGGAUGCUGCACCCCUGCCACAAAAUGAAUCUUUUGAUACAGAGCAAACCCUCUUUCUGAUCGAUUUGAUGCGCCAGCAGUUGGAAGCAGACGGCGAAAGUCUCCUUCGAGCUUUAAAGGAGUUCAAUCCCCGAAUAAAGUCGGGCAAAAGCCGCAAGAAACAUAUGUGGAGGGAGCUGGCUACUAGACUCUCCAAACACUUUGGGCAGGUCUUCCAUCCUGAUCAUGUGGCGAGAACAUGGUACGCUCUUGAGGACGAAUACAAAAAAGCGAAAGACGAUAAUAGAAUGAGUGGUCAAGAAGCCGUGACGUUCCAGUUUUUUAGUGAGAUGGAAGAGCUGUUGGGCGGGCAUCAUGACGUCGAAUUUCCCGUCGUUGGCACGGUGAAGGGUGUAGAGGUGCGCAGGCCAAAGGCAUUGAAUGUGGACGGUGGAAGAGAAUCGCCUGCGACGGCGCACACGGGCUCGGCCACGCCAGCAGCAACACCAACGGCUUCAGCGACACCAACGCGACCUUCGACGCUCAAGCGGAGACGGAGAGAUGAGCACUAUUUGACUCUUCUGGACUUUUUAAAGGAAUCUACGGCAGCUCGGCGGCGGCGCCACGAGGAAACUCUAGCCCAGAUGAAAUCCGCUCAGGACGGGUUUGAGGCUCUGAUGAACAGAUUCCUGGACAAACUUUGACCUUCUCUGUGCAGCCACACCAAACGAACAUUCAGCUCUGCUAUUUCCUUUAUACUUUUUUUUUUUCUCCAUGUGUAGUUGUUUUGUUUGUUUGUUUGUUUGUUUAAUGCGUAGUGUAGCGUAUAUGACUGACGACAAUGCAAAAAGCAUUUUUUUUUAUACCAAUUUAGUUGCAAUUUAUUGCGCAAAAUAUACUUGCAUAACAUUUGACUUCCUGAAAACCUCAAGUAAAGGAGUUUACAAACUA